This is a long non-coding RNA of Talpa occidentalis (Iberian mole), 333 nucleotides long. RefSeq lists it as uncharacterized. The record is from RefSeq and is a predicted model, not a curated record. The transcript has 3 exons. Lineage: Eukaryota; Metazoa; Chordata; Mammalia; Eulipotyphla; Talpidae.
AAUCAUUCUGAACAAUAUUUUCCAUGCCCAACACUAUCAGGGAUAUUUAAAAAGGACGUACACAAUUACAUUGACAGAUGGAAACCAACAUGUAACCGAAUUGUUAUCAGGGGCUCCUGGAAGCUGGUUAAGAAAACAGAAGGAAGGAAGAAGAAAGCCUUGAUCAAAAGACUGACCUUCACAUGAGAAGAGGGAAUUCUGCAGCAGAAGGCCUCUGGACUUGAAAUGAAGCAUUGACUCUCUCCUGAGUUGCCAGUCUGCUGGUCCACCCUACAGAUUUUGACUUGACAGCCUCUAUAAUCAGUUUCCUUUGCAGUUAAAAGUGCUCAUGCU